UGGCAAGAAAUCCAAGAUACUUUGACCA
RNAcentral lists this non-coding RNA (28 nucleotides) under Mus musculus (house mouse). Lineage: Eukaryota; Metazoa; Chordata; Mammalia; Rodentia; Muridae. RNAcentral also lists the same sequence under 1 other name. The record is from RNAcentral.